GACGAACGCUGGCGGCGUGCCUAAUACAUGCAAGUAGAACGCUGAAGAGAGGAGCUUGCUCUUCUUGGAUGAGUUGCGAACGGGUGAGUAACGCGUAGGUAACCUGCCUUGUAGCGGGGGAUAACUAUUGGAAACGAUAGCUAAUACCGCAUAACAAUGGAUGACACAUGUCAUUUAUUUGAAAGGGGCAAUUGCUCCACUACAAGAUGGACCUGCGUUGUAUUAGCUAGUAGGUGAGGUAAUGGCUCACCUAGGCGACGAUACAUAGCCGACCUGAGAGGGUGAUCGGCCACACUGGGACUGAGACACGGCCCAGACUCCUACGGGAGGCAGCAGUAGGGAAUCUUCGGCAAUGGGGGCAACCCUGACCGAGCAACGCCGCGUGAGUGAAGAAGGUUUUCGGAUCGUAAAGCUCUGUUGUAAGUCAAGAACGGGUGUGAGAGUGGAAAGUUCACGCUGUGACGGCAGCUUACCAGAAAGGGACGGCUAACUACGUG
Molecule: ribosomal RNA, 497 nt
Filed under: uncultured bacterium
Lineage: Bacteria
Description: partial 16S ribosomal RNA
Rfam family: Bacterial small subunit ribosomal RNA
Source: RNAcentral